Molecule: small nucleolar RNA, 86 nt
Organism: Coffea eugenioides
Lineage: Eukaryota; Viridiplantae; Streptophyta; Magnoliopsida; Gentianales; Rubiaceae
Source: RefSeq, a predicted model, not a curated record
AAGCCUAUGAGGAAUUAAUUUUAUAAAUAUCUGGAAUUACCGGCUGAAUCAUUACUUGAUGUUAGAUAGACUAUCUGAGGCUUCGU